RNAcentral lists this long non-coding RNA (1085 nucleotides) under Ananas comosus (pineapple). RNAcentral's name for it is "long non-coding RNA (ACOM_LNC008065)". Lineage: Eukaryota; Viridiplantae; Streptophyta; Magnoliopsida; Poales; Bromeliaceae. The record is from RNAcentral.
AAAUUAUAUGAACAAUCAAUUUAUUUCAAUUAAUACUUGAUCCAAUAUUUAUUAUAUUUAUUAUUUCAAUUUAUGGUGCAUUCAUAAGUUUUUAGCCGUUGGAUGAAAGGAUGUGCCGUUAAGAUGAUAAUAGUGGUUCCUUAAGGGCAUGUUUGUUUCAAUGUAAGUAGACUUGGGGUGGAAGUGGACUUUGGGUUGAAGUAGAGUUGGGGUGAAAAUUAGUUCACUUCUGCUGUUUGUUUCUAACUGUGGAAGUACAGUUCUGCGAGUUUCGUUGUUUGUUUGGUAGGAAGUAAAUGACGUAAAAAGUGUAGCUCUCCACCCCCGGUAUACUUACCUCCAAAGUAAUAUUAUUGUCUAUUUUAUAACUUAUAGUGAAUAAUAAAUUAUAAUAAAUAAAAAUUAAUAUAAUUAUUUAUGUAUAUAAUUAUAUAUAUGUAUAAUUAUAAAAUAAAAUUUUAAAAAAUUAUAUUAUUUGUUUGCAUAUAAAUUAUAAUAAUGCAACAAAUAAAAUUCUAAAGUUAAAAAAUUAUUAACAUUUAACAAAUUUAUUUUUCAUCAUUUUCUAAAUAUACAAAUUAAACAAAAAAUAUAUUAGCUUACCUAAUUAAAUUUGAUCAUAUUUUAGACAUACAAUCAAAAUAAAAAAUUUAAUUAUUUUCACAAUUGAAUAUAUUUGGAUGAAAUGAAGAGGUAACCCUAACACAUUAAUCCAUUCUUGCCUUUUUUUCACUUCACCGAAAUUGACUUCGCCCCAUGGGAGGGCGAAGUCAAGUUCCUUAUUUUGGGUGAACUGAACUUUCGGGCGUAAUAAACUUACGGUGAACCAAACAGCGGAAGUGGUUAAUUUUCACCGAAAAUCACUUUCCCCGUCCCACUUCCACCCCACUUCCAUCGAAACAAACAGGCCCUAAGGGCUAGUGUUGAGUGGGUGGUUGAUUAAAUAGUAUGAUUUAACGGAUGAAAAUAGUCAAAAAGUUAGAUCUAACGGUUGAAAAUUUUUAAAUACAAAGAGGUUUAUACUCAGAAGAGUAUAGUAACUGAACUCUCUCUCUCUCUCUCUCUCUCUCUCUCUCUAUAUAUAU